Molecule: long non-coding RNA, 691 nt
Organism: Drosophila biarmipes
Lineage: Eukaryota; Metazoa; Arthropoda; Insecta; Diptera; Drosophilidae
Exons: 4
Source: RefSeq, a predicted model, not a curated record
CCUUGGUUUUAAAGGAACGGGAAGAAAUAUUUUCCUUAAAAUGUCUGCAAAUCGUAUAUUUUGUUUUCUGAUUUUCGCUCUUUUUCUUUUUACGAUAUGUUAUUCAUUUAAUAAAGAUCUUGUAAGGUGUGGAGACUGUAAAAAUGAGAAUAAGGAAUUUUGCAUAAUUAAAGGUGAUUCAGACCAUGUUGCGCACGAAAAAUCUGUAAGAUCGGGUUUUAAAUCUCACUUUGAAAACACCCCGUGGACCGCGGACUUGGACGUGUGCAUUCCUAAAAAUAUGACAAUUGAUGCAAAAGAUGGAGAAUUCUUAUAUUUAUGUGUUUGGUCACCCGAAAUUGGUUGUCAAAUUUUAUUACCUAAGGACAAUAAGGACACAUUUUUGGGCUGUGAGGCCCAGGCUGUCCGUAACUUGUAAAGUGCGGAAACUGUACUGAGGACAAUAAAGGCAUAUGCAUAAUUAAAAGUGAUUCGGACCAUGUUGUAAUUCGAAAAGCUCUUAGAUCGAAUUUAAUAUUUGAAUUUGAAGAAACCCCGUGGACCGCGGACUUGGACGUGUGCAUUCCUAGCAACAUGACAAUUGAUGCAAAACAAGAUCUAAACCAUCAAGGUAACAGCUAAAUACAACGUGUAUUAACUGUACCAAGGCCAAACAGCUCAACUAUUAAAUAUAACCAUAUUUUAAUCAUAA